This 3420-nucleotide ribosomal RNA is filed under the name Triticum aestivum (bread wheat). RNAcentral describes it as "partial small subunit ribosomal RNA". Lineage: Eukaryota; Viridiplantae; Streptophyta; Magnoliopsida; Poales; Poaceae. The record is from RNAcentral.
GUUUCCACCUUCCAGAACAUUCAGGAGCACUCUCAAAGGGAGAAGAACACCCGCGACCACAGCGGCACCACCACUACGGCGCCGCAUAUACCACCGCCUCGGCGCCUCGUAUUCGCCAAGGGAAAAGAGCUGCCCUGUCUUCGCCUCGUCUGCCGGAAGCGAAAUUUCAAGGAGCACCCACGACUUCGCACACCGCCGGUGUAGGCUGCGAUCUGAUCGUGUGACCCAGCGGUAGCCGGGAGCUGCAAAGGGCGCGUCGAAGAUGAGCGUGGUUGGGUUUGAUUUGGGCAACGAGAGCUGCAUUGUGGGGGUGGCACGGCAGCGUGGCAUCGACGUGGUUCUCAAUGAGGAAUCCAAACGGGAGACCCCUGCCAUCGUCUGCUUUGGUGACAAGCAGCGCUUCAUCGGCACUGCAGGCGCUGCCAACUCCACCAUGAACCCAAAGAACUCCAUCUCACAGAUCAAGCGCUUGCUGGGCCGCAAGUUUGCUGAUCCUGAACUGCAGCGCGAUCUGCAGUCAUUCCCUUUCCGUGUCUCGGAGGGCCCCGACGGGUUCCCACUCGUGCACGCCCGGUAUCUGGGGGAGGAGCAUGCUUUCACCCCCACGCAGCUGCUUGCCAUGGUGCUGUCUAAUCUGAAGGCCAUUGCUGAGGAUAACCUGAAGUCCGCUGUUGUUGAUUGCUGCAUUGGUAUACCGGUGUAUUUCACUGACCUGCAGCGUAGGUCUGUUCUUGAUGCUGCCACUAUCGCUGGUCUCCGGCCGUUGCGUCUGUUCCAUGAGACCACUGCUACUGCAUUGGCAUAUGGCAUCUAUAAGACCGAUCUCCCUGAGAAUGAUCAGCUGAACGUCGCAUUUGUUGAUGUCGGGCAUGCCAGCAUGCAGGUAAGCAUUGUCGGGUACAAGAAGGGGCAGCUGAAGAUGCUGUCCCACGCAUAUGACCGGUCUCUUGGUGGAAGAGACUUUGAUGAAGCCCUGUUUAAGCACUUUGCGGCAAAAUUUAAAGAGGAGUAUAAGAUUGAUGUCUACCAGAAUGCCCGCGCGUGCAUUAGGUUGCGUGUGGCCUGUGAGAAGCUCAAGAAGAUGCUGAGCGCCAAUCCGGAGGCACCGAUGAAUAUUGAGUGCUUGAUGGAUGAGAAGGAUGUGCGAGGCUUCAUCAAGAGGGAUGAAUUUGAACAAAUCAGUGCCCCAGUACUAGAACGUGUGAAAGGGCCACUGGAGAAGGCCUUGGCCGAAGCUGGCUUGACAACUGAAAGUGUGCACUUUGUUGAGGUUGUUGGAUCAGGUUCUCGUGUCCCUGCUAUAAUUAGGAUUAUCACUGAAUUCUUUGGAAAGGAACCUCGGAGAACUAUGAAUGCAAGUGAAUGUGUUGCCCGGGGAUGCGCUCUUCAGUGUGCUAUACUUAGUCCCACGUUCAAAGUGCGGGAGUUCCAGGUUAAUGAAGGUUUUCCUUUUUCAAUCGCUUUAUCAUGGAAACCAGAUUCCCAGAACAAUGAGCCCCAACAAACAGUGGUAUUUCCAAAGGGGAACCCUAUCCCGAGCGUCAAAGCUCUGACCUUCUAUAGGUCCAAUACAUUUGCAGUGGAUGUUCUGAAUGUCGAAACGGAAGAUUCGCAAGUAACACAAAAAAUUAGCACAUACACGAUCGGCCCUUUCCAAUCCAGCAAAGGUGAGAAGGCAAAGCUGAAAGUGAAAGUUCGUCUCAACAUUCAUGGAAUAGUCUCUCUUGAAUCAGCGACGAUGCUGGAGGAGGAGGAAGUGGAAGUUCCAGUUUCAGCUACAAGUGAGGUGCCAAAGGAUGCUAACAAAAUGGAGACAGAUGCCACUGAUGUCAAUAUGCAGGAGCCUAAAGGUACUACAGACACUGCUGAGGGUGCUACUGGAGAUGGGGCACAAGAUUCUGAGGAAAAAUCUGCUCCUAUGGAUACUGAUGCCAAGACUGAGCCAUCAAAAAAGGAAGUCAAGAAAACUAAUGUCCCAGUUGCGGAAUUGGUGUAUGGUGCAAUGGGGUCUGCUGAGUUGGAGAAAGCUGUUGAGAAGGAGUAUGAGAUGGCUCUUCAAGACAGAGUUAUGGAAGAAACCAAAGAGAAAAAGAAUUCCGUGGAGGCCUAUGUUUAUGACAUGCGUAACAAGCUUUAUGAGAAGUACUCUGAUUAUGUUACAUGGGAGGACAAAGAAACUUUGACGGCUAAGCUUCAGGAGGUUGAGGAUUGGCUGUACGAAGAUGGCGAGGAUGAGACCAAGGGAGUCUAUGUUGCAAAACUGGAAGAACUUAAAAAGGUUGGUGGCCCUAUCGAGGCGCGCUACAGAGAGUGGGAAGAAAGAGGUCCUGCUAUUGAGCAACUAGCGUACUGCAUCCGCAGUUUCAGGGAGGCUGCAUUGUCUAGUGACCCAAAGUUUGAGCAUAUCGACAUAUCGGAGAAACAGAAGGUUGUUAAUGAGUGCUCUGGAGCGGAGACUUGGCUGCAUGAGAAAAAACAGCAGCAGGAUGCUUUACCAAAGCAUGCUGACCCUGCUCUCCUUGUUUCCGACAUUAAGAAGAAGGCGGAAGCACUUGACAGAUUUUGCAAAUCGAUCAUGACAAAGCCAAAGCCAGCACCGAAGCCACAGACACCACCCCCGGCCGAAACUUCACCACCAGAGGCUCAAACACCAGAGCAGCAGCCAGAUGGUGCCACUGAAGCUAGUGAGCCGGCCAGUGAGGGAGGUGCGUGGGAGCAGCCUGCAGCCGAGCAGAUGGACACCGACGAACCUGAUCCUAACUCGGCAUAGGCUUAUUGUUGAUCGAAGCAGUUUUUUUUCUCUGCUAUUGACUGCGUUUCACGGUGUUGGUAGCGCGGCAAGCUUUUGGGUCUCGGCACGCACGGUUGCGAGCAAGGUUAUGUGUUGUGUUAGAACUUUGAGAGAGUUCGGUAGUGUAUGUAGCUGUCUGUCCCUGGACUUGGCUUUGUGACUUUCUUGGUGGUGGGUGAUGCAGAUGCAGGGUUAUCAUCUUCAGAUUUUGGUGCCUGAUGUCAGCGAUAUCUUUGCUGUAGUUUCUAUAGCCAUCAAGGGUUUGAGCCGUGCUGAACAUGCUCCUGCGUUUUGCUGUACUCCUGUCUGCACCACCAGGACACACCCUCCAAAGCAUGUUUAAUCUAUUUCUGGCAUCUCGGCUCUUGAGGAUUUUAAUGGUAAAUAACAAAGCUCAAAAGACUGACGGUGUAAGAGCAACUCUAGCAGGUGAGCAACAUUUGCAGCAUCAAAAUCAUUUCGAAGCGCUCAACAUAAUAAGCAAUUACAAGUUGGAAUGCACAAAUACGAAGUCGCAAAAAUUCGAACUCCAUAUUUUACAGAUUCACCUUUUUUUUAAGCUCGAAGAUAGUGGGAAAGGCUCGGACGCAGACGAGGAGCACACGGGGACCACACCCACCAGAAUCUAA